GGUUUGUAGCUCAGUGGUAGAGCACGUGCCUAGCAAGUCUGAGGCACUGAGUUCAAUCCUCAGCACCA
RNAcentral lists this transfer RNA (68 nucleotides) under Marmota monax (woodchuck). RNAcentral's name for it is "tRNA.Ala". The stretch from base 5 to 65 matches the Rfam family "tRNA", at positions 6 to 65 of the family's 71-position model. From Rfam's summary of the family: Transfer RNA (tRNA) molecules are approximately 80 nucleotides in length. Their secondary structure includes four short double-helical elements and three loops (D, anti-codon, and T loops). The record is from RNAcentral. Lineage: Eukaryota; Metazoa; Chordata; Mammalia; Rodentia; Sciuridae.